CGUCCGUAGCCGGUAUGAUGAGUUCCUGGUAAAAUCAGAUUGCUUAACAAUCUGUUGGCUAGGAAUACUAUUAUACUAGGGGGCGGGAGAGGUUUGAGGUACUCCAGGGGUAGCGGUGAAAUGCUUUAAUCCUUGGGGGACCACCAGUGGCGAAGGCGUCAGACUGGAACGCGCCCGACGGUGAGGGACGAAAGCCAGGGGAGCGAACCGGAUUAGAUACCCGGGUAGUCCUGGCUGUAAACGAUGCGUGCUAGGUGUUGGUAUGGCUAUGAGCUGUAUCAGUGCCGUAGGGAAACCGUUAAGCGCGCCGCCUGGGGAGUACGGUCGCAAGACUGAAACUUAA
RNAcentral lists this ribosomal RNA (343 nucleotides) under uncultured archaeon. Its description in RNAcentral is "bacterial SSU rRNA". It matches the Rfam family "Archaeal small subunit ribosomal RNA", at positions 516 to 859 of the family's 1478-position model. The record is from RNAcentral.